GGCUGGCUAGCUUAGUUGGUUAGAGUGUAGUACUAGUAAUGCCAAGGUCAUGGGUUUGAGUCCCAUAUGGGCCA
Non-coding RNA from Odocoileus virginianus texanus, 74 nucleotides. Lineage: Eukaryota; Metazoa; Chordata; Mammalia; Artiodactyla; Cervidae. The record is from the annotation of a RefSeq genome assembly.